GGAGAGGUGGCUGAGUGGCUGAAAGCGGCACCCUGCUAAGGUGUUAUACCUCUUAAAGGGUAUCGAGGGUUCGAAUCCCUCUCUCUCCG
This 89-nucleotide transfer RNA is filed under the name Ichthyobacterium seriolicida. Its description in RNAcentral is "bacterium JBKA-6 tRNA". It matches the Rfam family "tRNA". From Rfam's summary of the family: Transfer RNA (tRNA) molecules are approximately 80 nucleotides in length. The record is from Rfam by way of RNAcentral. Lineage: Bacteria; Pseudomonadati; Bacteroidota; Flavobacteriia; Flavobacteriales; Ichthyobacteriaceae.